This 210-nucleotide long non-coding RNA is filed under the name Mytilus galloprovincialis (Mediterranean mussel). The record is from RNAcentral. Lineage: Eukaryota; Metazoa; Mollusca; Bivalvia; Mytilida; Mytilidae.
GAAUUCCCUUCUUUUUUAUUAUGUUCUGUACUAUAAGUUUUUAUCUUUUCACUGUUUUCUUCCGGAUUUUGCAGACAUGUAAUUUACGAUUAGUGAAAUACUGGUCAGGUGGAAUUGAAGAGUUCGUAUAAUGCGUUGCAAUCAAUUAUGACGGAGAAUACUUAUAAAGUUUACACAAAAAAAAAAACGAGAGUAAUACUCAAGCAAAAC